This 72-nucleotide transfer RNA is filed under the name Marmota marmota marmota (Alpine marmot). It matches the Rfam family "tRNA". From Rfam's summary of the family: Transfer RNA (tRNA) molecules are approximately 80 nucleotides in length. Their secondary structure includes four short double-helical elements and three loops (D, anti-codon, and T loops). The record is from Rfam by way of RNAcentral. RNAcentral also lists the same sequence under 1 other name. Lineage: Eukaryota; Metazoa; Chordata; Mammalia; Rodentia; Sciuridae.
AGGAGUGCAGCUCAGUGCUAGAGUGUGUGUUUAGUAUGCGUGAGGCCCUGGGUUUGACCCCCAGCACUAUUC